This 254-nucleotide ribosomal RNA is filed under the name uncultured bacterium. Its description in RNAcentral is "partial 16S ribosomal RNA". It matches the Rfam family "Bacterial small subunit ribosomal RNA", at positions 524 to 776 of the family's 1533-position model. The record is from RNAcentral.
CACGUAGGGCGCGAGCGUUGUCCGGAAUUAUUGGGCGUAAAGAGCUCGUAGGCGGCCUGUUGCGUCCGCUGUGAAAGCCCCGGGGCUUAACCCCGGGUCGGCAGUGGAUACGGGCAGGCUAGAGGUAGGUAGGGGAGAAUGGAAUUCCCGGUGUAGCGGUGAAAUGCGCAGAUAUCGGGAGGAACACCGGUGGCGAAGGCGGUUCUCUGGGCCUUACCUGACGCUGAGGAGCGAAAGCGUGGGGAGCGAACAGG